RNAcentral lists this ribosomal RNA (372 nucleotides) under uncultured organism. RNAcentral's name for it is "partial 16S ribosomal RNA". It matches the Rfam family "Bacterial small subunit ribosomal RNA", at positions 527 to 896 of the family's 1533-position model. The record is from RNAcentral.
GUAGGUGGCAAGCGUUGUCCGGAAUUAUUGGGCGUAAAGCGCGCGCAGGGCGGUUCUUUAAGUCUGAUGUGAAAGCCCACGGCUCAACCGUGGAGGGUCAUUGGAAACUGGAGAACUUGAGUACAGAAGAGGAAAGCGGAAUUCCACGUGUAGCGGUGAAAUGCGUAGAGAUGUGGAGGAACACCAGUGGCGAAGGCGGCUUUCUGGUCUGUAACUGACGCUGAGGCGCGAAAGCGUGGGGGGCAAACAGGAUUAGGUACCCUGGUAGUCCACGCCGUAAACGAUGAGUGCUAAGUGUUAGGGGGUUUCCGCCCCUUAGUGCUGCAGCUAACGCAUUAAGCACUCCGCCUGGGGAGUACGGCCGCAAGGCUG